This 382-nucleotide ribosomal RNA is filed under the name Rhodospora sp. Its description in RNAcentral is "partial small subunit ribosomal RNA". It matches the Rfam family "Eukaryotic small subunit ribosomal RNA", at positions 587 to 975 of the family's 1831-position model. The record is from RNAcentral. Lineage: Eukaryota; Rhodophyta; Stylonematophyceae; Stylonematales; Stylonemataceae.
AGCUCCAAUAGCGUAUACUAAAGUUGUUGCAGUUAAAAAGCUCGUAGUCGAAUUCGGACCCGACUUGCGGAACGGCCUCCAAGCCUUUAGCGAGCCGGGUUCAAUUUUGCCGCCAGAUGGUUUGCUUGUUAGUGAACCAACAAGGCGGCAUCUUUUACUGUGAACAAAAUAGAGUGUUCAUGGCAGGCCUUUUGUAGGGCUUAGAUACCUCAGCAUGGAAUAAUAGAAUAGGACUUCCGGUUCUAUUUUGUUGGUUUUUGGAGCCGAAGUAAUGAUUAAUAGGGAUAGUUGGGGGCACUCGUACUCCGUUGUCAGAGGUGAAAUUCUUGGAUUUACGGAAGACGAACAACUGCGAAAGCAUCUGCCAAGGAUGUUUUCAUUG